UAGCUCCCCCAGGGAUAGGAAGUGCAGC
RNAcentral lists this non-coding RNA (28 nucleotides) under Homo sapiens (human). Lineage: Eukaryota; Metazoa; Chordata; Mammalia; Primates; Hominidae. The record is from RNAcentral.